Molecule: long non-coding RNA, 605 nt
Filed under: Mus musculus (house mouse)
Lineage: Eukaryota; Metazoa; Chordata; Mammalia; Rodentia; Muridae
Description: long non-coding RNA chrX:70770866-70771471
Source: RNAcentral
AUGGCGAAGGACCUGGACGAACUUCUGGACGAAGUCGAAACCAAGAUCUGCAGACUAGACCCCCUGAGGCUGGACCUGGGUCAGCGGCCCAAAGGAGGUGGCAGUGGCAGCUUACACAGCGGCGGCCAGAACGGAGCCCUGGAGAAAGAGACUCUCAGAUCAACAGAAACACUUGAAAAAGAAGAUGAUCUUCAGUCUUAUUAAUGAAAUAUUCGAGGAGCCUGACUCUGACAAAAAAUCUUUUCAAACAUUUAAAUCUAAAUUUUCAAGUGACACAUCUGUCAGAGCUCCCAUACAAGGCGGCAGUAAAAGUUGCAGUCCAGUGCAUCUCAGCGGAAGUACCAUUCCAUGUGGGAUUGGAACAAAUACUUCACAGAGAGCAUGUGACAGACUGCGUUGUGUAGCCUGUGAGCUACAAUAUGUGGGAUAAGUCAUGUGACUACCUGUUCUUCAGGAACAACAUGGCAGAAUUCCACAAACUCGAAACAAAAUUGAUCGAGAAGAAAGGAGCAUGGGCAUAUGCCUGCCAGUGUAGCUGGAGAACUGUUGAAGAACUCACUGACCUGCAAACAGAUCAUCUUCGCUGGGUGUGUGGUAAGCACUGA